This 465-nucleotide ribosomal RNA is filed under the name uncultured bacterium. RNAcentral describes it as "partial 16S ribosomal RNA". It matches the Rfam family "Bacterial small subunit ribosomal RNA", at positions 28 to 507 of the family's 1533-position model. The record is from RNAcentral.
GACGAACGCUGGCGGCGUGCUUAACACAUGCAAGUCGUACGGUAAGGCCCUUUCGGGGGUACACGAGUGGCGAACGGGUGCGUAACACGUGAGUAACCUGCCCACAACUUUGGGAUAACGCUAGGAAACUGGUGCUAAUACUGGAUAUGUGCUCCUGCUGCAUGGUGGGGGUUGGAAAGCUCCGGCGGUUGUGGAUGGAUUCGCGGCCUAUCGGCUUGUUGGUGGGGUAGUGGCCUACCAAGGCGGCGACGGGUAGCCGGCCUGAGAGGGUGACCGGCCACAUUGGGACUGAGAUACGGCCCAGACGCCGACGGGAGGCAGCAGGGGGGAAUAUUGCACAAUGGGCGCAAGCCGGAUGCAGCAACGCCUCGUGCGGGAUGACGGCCUUCGGGUUGUAAACCGCUUUCAGCAGGGACGAAGCUUUUUGUGACGGUACCUGCAGAAGAAGCACCGGCUAACUACGUG